This 1367-nucleotide long non-coding RNA is filed under the name Mytilus galloprovincialis (Mediterranean mussel). Lineage: Eukaryota; Metazoa; Mollusca; Bivalvia; Mytilida; Mytilidae. The record is from RNAcentral.
AAUUGACAAAGUUAAAGAACAUCAUAGGAAGGCUAAACGUUCUAGCCAUAAUAACGAGGAACAUUUCAGCCAACAUUCAAAUCCUCAAAUGAACCAUUUUCCCGGUCAACAUUUAAAUUCUGAAAUGAAUCAUUUUCCAAGCCAAAAUUCCAAUCCCAAAAUGAACCAUUUUCCUAGUCAACAUUCAAAUCCUCAAAUGAAUCAUUUUCCUGGCCAUGACUUCAAUACAAAAUACAGGACAAAUAAAGCUCCAAGUUUUAAUGACUUUGUUGACACGGACAGUUCCAGCUCAGUUCUAAAUUUUUCUAAGGUAUUUACAAUUAUUGCAGAUGAUACACAUACACGCAGACUGUGUAGCACAAUCAAAAAAGCUUUAAAAGAGGGACGAAAGAUACCCGAUGGACUUUCAAACUCAUAGAUCGAAAAAUAAACUGAUAACACCAUGGCUAGAAAGAAAAAACCAAACAGACAAAUAAUGGUAUAAAAAAUAUACAAUAAGUACAAAUGGUUAGCAAGUAUACUGACCUAGCAAUAAACAUGAUAAAUUAAUAGAAAAACGAAGGAUAGAGUCACGUGAUCAAACAUGUAUAAAAUAUCUUCCUCGUAUAUGCCAAUAGUCUGACAUAUAAUCCACAGAUCUAUAAUUUUUCACCAACAAAAAGGGCGAAAAUCUUGUAUUUACAUCUCACACAAAUGUUUUUCGUAUUAUUAUCUUUUCACUUCUUUCGUAGUUUUUCGAGUUCAUACGUUUGAUUAUUUUUUCAUAAUCUAUAGAAAAACAUAACAUCGGGAAAAAUGAUGUCGUUAGUAAUCUAUCAAUUAGAAAGAGACGUAAGCAAUAAGAACACGACAUUUAAUUGUAGUCGUGCCUUUGCAUAUGCUGUAUCUAUUUGGUGUUUUAAAUCACUGGUUCAAAAAGUAAAAUCAUAAAAAUAAUGAUCUCCGAGGAAAAUUCAAAACGGAAAGUCCCUUAUCAAAUGGCAAUAUCAAAAGCUAAAACUCAUCAAACAAAAGGAUCAAGAAGAUAUAUCAAUGAAAUCUAAUAACAAAAUUAAACGAUCCAGGUCUUCAUGUAGACUUCAACAUCUUGCUCAUGGCUUGACGAAAAUCUAAUACAAUUCAAGAUAUGUUUUUGUUAAGUUGCAUAUACAGUAGAGAAUUCUUCAAUGUUGCAUGAAAAAAUCGUAAAAAUAUUUUCUAAUUUAAAUUUGUCUUAUUGAAGAUUUUUACAGCAGGAGAUAUGGUGCAAAUGGUAGAAAGGAAAUUUGAACAUCGAAUGACACAGCGCAUAACGCGGUAACAAUUUCUAGACAUCUGCCCGUCUGUAAUAUACAGUUUGUUGCAGCGUUCAGAAAUCAAAGACAAAG